RNAcentral lists this ribosomal RNA (800 nucleotides) under uncultured bacterium. Its description in RNAcentral is "bacterial SSU rRNA". It matches the Rfam family "Bacterial small subunit ribosomal RNA", at positions 8 to 824 of the family's 1533-position model. The record is from RNAcentral.
AGAGUUUGAUCCUGGCUCAGGACGAACGCUGGCGGCGUGCUUAACACAUGCAAGUCGAGCGAUGAGAUCACUUCGGUGAAGGAUUAGCGGCGAACGGGUGAGGAACACGUGAAGAAUCUGCCUUCAACUCUGGGAUAACUCCGGGAAACCGGGGCUAAUACCGGAUAUGAGCCUUGAUCGCAUGAUCGGGGCUGGAAAGUUUUUCGGUUGAAGAUGACUUCGCGGCCUAUCAGCUUGUUGGUGAGGUAAUGGCUCACCAAGGCGACGACGGGUAGCCGGCCUGAGAGGGCGACCGGCCACACUGGGACUGAGACACGGCCCGGACUCCUACGGGAGGCAGCAGUGGGGAAUAUUGGGCAAUGGAGGAAACUCUGACCCAGCGACGCCGCGUGCGGGAUGAAGGCCUUCGGGUUGUAAACCGCUUUCAGCAGGGAAUAAGCGCAAGUGAAGGUACCUGCAGAAGAAGCACCGGCUAACUAUGUGCCAGCAGCCGCGGUAAUACAUAGGGUGCAAGCGUUGUCCGGAAUUAUUGGGCGUAAAGAGCUCGUAGGUGGUUUGUUACGUCGGUUGUGAAAUUCAGGGGCUCAACCCCUGACUUGCAGCCGAUACGGGCAAGCUAGAGUUUGGUAGGGGAGACUGGAAUUCCUGGUGUAGCGGUGGAAUGCGCAGAUAUCAGGAGGAACACCGAUGGCGAAGGCAGGUCUCUGGGCCAAUACUGACACUGAGGAGCGAAAGCGUGGGGAGCGAACAGGAUUAGAUACCCUGGUAGUCCACGCCGUAAACGGUGGGCGCUAGUUGUG